UGCAAGUCGAGCGGACAGAUGGGAGCUUGCUCCCUGAUGUUAGCGGCGGACGGGUGAGUAACACGUGGGUAACCUGCCUGUAAGACUGGGAUAACUCCGGGAAACCGGGGCUAAUACCGGAUGGUUGUUUGAACCGCAUGGUUCAAACAUAAAAGGUGGCUUCGGCUACCACUUACAGAUGGACCCGCGGCGCAUUAGCUAGUUGGUGAGGUAACGGCUCACCAAGGCGACGAUGCGUAGCCGACCUGAGAGGGUGAUCGGCCACACUGGGACUGAGACACGGCCCAGACUCCUACGGGAGGCAGCAGUAGGGAAUCUUCCGCAAUGGACGAAAGUCUGACGGAGCAACGCCGCGUGAGUGAUGAAGGUUUUCGGAUCGUAAAGCUCUGUUGUUAGGGAAGAACAAGUACCGUUCGAAUAGGGCGGUACCUUGACGGUACCUAACCAGAAAGCCACGGCUAACUACGUGCCAGCAGCCGCGGUAAUACGUAGGUGGCAAGCGUUGUCCGGAAUUAUUGGGCGUAAAGGGCUCGCAGGCGGUUUCUUAAGUCUGAUGUGAAAGCCCCCGGCUCAACCGGGGAGGGUCAUUGGAAACUGGGGAACUUGAGUGCAGAAGAGGAGAGUGGAAUUCCACGUGUAGCGGUGAAAUGCGUAGAGAUGUGGAGGAACACCAGUGGCGAAGGCGACUCUCUGGUCUGUAACUGACGCUGAGGAGCGAAAGCGUGGGGAGCGAACAGGAUUAGAUACCCUGGUAGUCCACGCCGUAAACGAUGAGUGCUAAGUGUUAGGGGGUUUCCGCCCCUUAGUGCUGCAGCUAACGCAUUAAGCACUCCGCCUGGGGAGUACGGUCGCAAGACUGAAACUCAAAGGAAUUGACGGGGGCCCGCACAAGCGNUGGAGCAUGUGGUUUAAUUCGAAGCAACGCGAAGAACCUUACCAGGUCUUGACAUCCUCUGACAAUCCUAGAGAUAGGACGUCCCCUUCGGGGGCAGAGUGACAGGUGGUGCAUGGUUGUCGUCAGCUCGUGUCGUGAGAUGUUGGGUUAAGUCCCGCAACGAGCGCAACCCUUGAUCUUAGUUGCCAGCAUUCAGUUGGGCACUCUAAGGUGACUGCCGGUGACAAACCGGAGGAAGGUGGGGAUGACGUCAAAUCAUCAUGCCCCUUAUGACCUGGGCUACACACGUGCUACAAUGGACAGAACAAAGGGCAGCGAAACCGCGAGGUUAAGCCAAUCCCACAAAUCUGUUCUCAGUUCGGAUCGCAGUCUGCAACUCGACUGCGUGAAGCUGGAAUCGCUAGUAAUCGCGGAUCAGCAUGCCGCGGUGAAUACGUUCCCGGGCCUUGUACACACCGCCCGUCACACCACGAGAGUUUGUAACACCCGAAGUCGGUGAGGUAACCUUUUAGGAGCCAGCCGCC
Molecule: ribosomal RNA, 1419 nt
Filed under: Bacillus inaquosorum
Lineage: Bacteria; Bacillati; Bacillota; Bacilli; Caryophanales; Bacillaceae
Description: bacterial SSU rRNA
Rfam family: Bacterial small subunit ribosomal RNA
Source: RNAcentral